RNAcentral lists this ribosomal RNA (253 nucleotides) under uncultured bacterium. RNAcentral's name for it is "partial 16S ribosomal RNA". It matches the Rfam family "Bacterial small subunit ribosomal RNA", at positions 524 to 776 of the family's 1533-position model. RNAcentral also lists the same sequence under 1 other name. The record is from RNAcentral.
UACGAAGGGGGCUAGCGUUGUUCGGAAUUACUGGGCGUAAAGCGUACGUAGGCGGAUUUGUAAGUAGGGGGUGAAAUCCCCAGGCUCAACCUGGGAACUGCCUUCUAGACUGCAAGUCUUGAGAUCAGGAGAGGCGAGUGGAAUUCCGAGUGUAGAGGUGAAAUUCGUAGAUAUUCGGAGGAACACCAGUGGCGAAGGCGACUCGCUGGACUGAUACUGACGCUGAGGUACGAAAGCGUGGGGAGCAAACAGG